This 4961-nucleotide long non-coding RNA is filed under the name Sus scrofa (pig). RNAcentral describes it as "lncRNA (ENSSSCG00000060565.1)". The record is from RNAcentral. Lineage: Eukaryota; Metazoa; Chordata; Mammalia; Artiodactyla; Suidae.
AGCCAAACAUAGUAACAGGAGAACAGUGGUUGCCAUGGGCUGGAAGGAGGGGCCCAUGGAGUGUUAUUAUUUAAUAGUUUCAGAGUUUCAGUUUUACAACAUGAGAAAGAAUCUUGGAGCUCAAUGGUUGUGGUGAUAGCACAACGAAAUCAUUGUACUCAAUACCACUGAACUGGCACUUAAAAGAGGUCACGAUAAGUUCUAUGUUAUGUGUAAUUUACCAUAACAUAAAAAUAAAAAUAAAUUUUAAAUGUGAAAAUAAACAAAAUAAGACUUUGUAUACCUUGUUUUCAUGUAUUUUACUAUUUGAGGAAAGUAAGAACCAGUGGCAGCCUGGACAUUUAGUCUUGCCAUUACUGUUAUUAUUAUUGUAUUAGUCAACCAAAAUUGAGGCUCUGUGGUGGACUAGGGCUAGACACAGAACAUUAUCCUGGGAACAUAACACCUUUUCAUGGCAUUCCUUCAGCUUGUUCUUCCAAAUACUCCAAGAAGAAGAGUAAAAGUCAUGGACACUAUGAUCGUUUCUAUCCACAACAAAAUGUGUUCAUCACCCAGUCUCUGCUUUGCCAGUUGGCUGACCAUGACCACCUGCAUAUUUGAUGUAGGAAGGAUGCUACAAAAGUGAGAUGUUCCAUGCAUGUUCUGAACACCCUUCCUGGUGCCCAGAGCCUUCCUAAAACAUGACCACAAAUCAGCACAGAGAGAAUUCCAGUGAGGCUUUUGGAGGCCAUGGCUGAAGAUCAAAAGUCUUUGAGUUUAGUUAUGUAUUAUCAGGAAAGACUUUCCUCUCAUCCUAGAGAUGCAUAGCUCUUAAGCAACAAUGGGGUAGCAGAAAGAAAACAGGCAUUGAAGCAUGCGAGGCUAGAAGUCAAAACCCAGCUCCCCCACCUACUGGGUGUGAGACUUUGGGGAACUCAAUGCAUCUGGGCCUCAAUAAAGUAGCAAAAUAAUUUCUUCCUUAAGGGAUUGUUGUGGAAAUCAAUGAGGUGUUAUGAAUAAAGCACCUGGUCCACUGCCCAGCUCAUAGCAGAUGCUCACUAAAUAAGAACAUAGAUGAGGAGGAGGAAGAGAGUAGCCUAUGAAGUCCCUAGCCUGAAGAGGCAGCGGAGGAUGAAGACAUGUAAAGUGGAUGAAUCUAAGACUUGGCUUUCUCAUCAGACAGGAAUCAAUGUUGCUCAAUGCUCCUAGGCUGUAGUGGACAGUUACCGCUGGUCUGCCCAGCACACCUCCCUCUUUCUGGAAACAGCAAUCCCUUAUCUAAAGAUCAUGGUGCCUCUCCUCUCCAAACAUAGACUCUAGUCAAGUUGGCCAGUCCUAUUCCCAUCCCUGCAGGGCAUGCAAGGGACCAUGUGAUCCAGCCAGAACAAUCAGAGUCCUUCUCCAGGGUUUUCCAAAGUGUACCUAAGAUAAGAGAGUCUUUUCAGAGUUCCCUUUGUGGCACAGCAGAAAUGAAUCCGACUAGUAACCAUGAGGUUGCGGCUUUGAUCCCUGACCUCGCUCAGUGGGUUAAGGAUCCGGCAUUGCCGUGACCUGUGGUAUAGGUCUCAGACAGGGCUCAGGCUCUGCGUUGCUGUGGCUGUGGCAUGGGCCAGCAGCUGUAGCUCCGAUUAGACCCCUAGCCUGGAAACUUCCAUAUGCUGCAGGUGUGGCCCUGAAAAAAGCAAAAAAAAAAAAAAAAAAAAAGAGAGAGAGAGAUAAUUUAGACUUGCCCUCCAAGAAAUAUGGUCUUUACAGAAAAUAUCUGAAAGAGUUUGGUGCCCUAGUUGCCCUAAAAACUCAGUUGUUUGUUUACUUGCCUCUUUCUUCCAGUAGCCCUUAGGCUCCUCAAAACUAUGGAUCUCAUUUUACCUACAUUUACCACACACUAAGUGCUCAAGGAAUGUUUGCUGAAAUAAAAUUAAAUAAACAUCUGGAACAAAGGGAAACUAUGACACAUGUAAUAGCAAACUCAUACACUCUUCACAGGCACAGAAUGGUUUGAUUUAGCGUUUACCACCCUCCCCCAUUUAACUGGGUCUAAAAUAUGUGGAAAUCACACUAUUUAUCCACAAAAUAGUUAUGCUAUGCCCCCUCACACACACACACACACACACACACACACACACACACACACACACACACAGGCAAGAGCUCAAUGAAGCGUCUCCUGGCUGGGAAGGGAGAAAGAAGAUAAACAGCCAACUCUGAAGGCUUUUGAAGCUGGCCUAUCAACAAAGGAUCUUCUAAAUCAAUUCCCCAGCAGAAACGGAAUGCAGGCGCUUCUCAGAAAUGUCUCACAAAGAAGCACAGAGAAAGGCUCUCUGAAGGCGGAAGCAGGAGAUGUUUCCAUCCUAAAGAUGGAAAUUGAGGAUGGGCAGAAAGCCCCUGCCAGAAAAUCUUCCCUGGGGUCAGCAGGGCCUCGUGGCUCCGGGACCACUUCAGCACCAGCCAUUCCAAGACGGUCAGAACACUUUCUCUGGGUCACACGGGUAAGUUUUCAUUCAUUCCAGCCAUGAAAGUUCAAUUUCCCAGAUCCCCUCCCCCAGGCUCCCUACCCUUUUUGCCAGCUCCUGGCCCACCAAGCGGUGACCGCCAGCAGAGGAACAAGGAGCAUUGAGAGGCACCAAGUUGAGCAUCUGCCAACACCAUCUGCAAAUUCUGCAGAUGGAGGGGACAGAGACAGCCUCAAACCCCACUGAAUCUAAAGAGCAGGGAUGUCAGAGGGAGACUGAUGGCAUCAGCUGGACCUCCCUGGGACCUAGGGGACUCUGUGUAUCCACUUAGCUUUUCAGAGCCCAAAAUAUGAUCCUGCCCACGUGCCUUAAGUUGAUCAAGCUCUUAAAAAUUCAUGUUCCAACUAAUCUCAUGAGACUGAUGUAUAAACAAAAUGUUUUUUUUUUUUAAUAGACUAUUUUUAAGGCAGCUUUAGGUUGGUAGCCAAAUUGAGUGGGGAAAAAAUGGCAUUUUAUAAUUCAUAACUGGGUUCAAUAAACAUGCUUUGAGCUUCUACAAUGGGCCAUGUGCUAUUUGAAAAGGUAUCAAAUAAAACGGCAAUCUCCUGACACCAAGUUGCUCACAGUGAGCAAAAGGGCAAAAUAAACAGAUGAUUACAAGAUAGGGUAAUAAGCAUUAGGACAAAGGUAGACAGAGAAUGUUACAGUAACCCAAAAGAUAGACUCCGAGUUCAUGCUGAGGGGUCUGGGAGACACAAUGCCUUUGUUAGGUUUUGAAGACUGAUAAGAGUUUUCCAAGUGAGUGAGGAGUUUUCAGGACAUUCCAGUCUGGGAAAAUUUCAUGUUGUUAUGAACUCUCCUUUCCCAAGCCCAAGGCCAAAACAGUCUUAACAAAAAGCCCCUGCAGUUACUUUCUCUGAAAGCAAGAAGUCUUCUAUGUCCAUCUUUAAAUUUCUGCUCUAAUUUUUUUAAACUUCUUCCUAUUUCUCUUAUUUCCACAGUAGAUUCAACCUCCUUUCAGCCCUUUCAGGUGGAUGGUCCUUUGGAUGGUUUCCACACUUUGACUCAGUUUCUGCAUCAGAUGCUGCCUCUCUCAUCACCCCUCUCUGCCCUACCAAUGGAACACUGGAUGUGAUGUGCUAUCUUCCAGGGCAGUACUCCUGAAUCCGGGGCUCCCUGAUGUUCGCCGGCUUGGCCACAGGGAGAAUGGACCACCACAGGCAGUGGGAGCAAUGUGCAAUAUCAAAAUGACUUCUAUCAAGAGUCCUCUGCUCCACCCAGAUCCCCCAGUCAGGUAUUAGCAGAUGCCUAGAGGACACAGGUUCCAAGCCCACAGAAUUUAAGAUCCUAAAAUGUGACCUCCAGGUCAGAGCCAAAGCCCCAUAACAUAUAUUAUCUUCCCAAAAAGGGAGGAGAUAGGAGAGUGAAUUCUCAACACACCUGAGGACACACACUGAUCGUAAUUCACUUUGAAUACUUCUAAUGUUUGUUAAGUGAACAGAUCUAAGGACUAUCCCCCAAGAUCUUUUCUUAUGAAGACAACCAAGCUCAGCCAUUCUGCACUGAUGUGUUUAGGUGUUCCUCUCAAAAGGUGACCUUUUUAUAAAUUUUGAGAACCUCCUAUCAUUAUGUCCUACCCUCCCCCACUUCAACACAAUUAAAAGGAGGCAUUUCACCAAUGAUCUUGGUAGCUUCCUCCCAUUCCUUCUCAUUUUCCCAGAGUUAAGUCCUUUUUCAAAGCCAGCCUUUGCCUCAGCCCAUCUUUAUGCCCAUCUGGAAACACAGCUGGCUUUUUCCAUGAAAUAGAGUUUCCUUUCCCUAUCUGGAUCAUGUUAAGCCAGGAGAGCAGGAGCCACAGCCUCAGAUUUUGUGGGAUUAAUGCAACAUGGCAUGAGUCACUGAGCCUCUCCACAAAAUUGAGGGAAAUAGGAGUUCCAGCUGUGGCACAGUGGGUUAAGACCUGUCAUGGCUCAGAGGAAACAAAUCUGACUAGCAUCCAUGAGGAUACAGGUUCAAUCCCUGGCCUCACUCAGUGGGUUAAGGAUCUGGCAUUGCUGUGAGCCAUAGUGUAGGUCAAAGAUGUGGCUCAGAUCUCACGUUGCUGUGGCUGUGUCGUAGGCCAGCAACCUCAGCUCCAAUUCAACCCCUAGCCUGGGAACAUACAUAUGCCAUAACUGUGGCACUUAAAAAAAAUAAUAAAGACAAAAGGGAAAAAAAAUACAACCACAGUAGCUAGGGUUGCUACGGAGGCAAGGGUUCAAUCCCUGACCUGGUGCAGUAGGUUAAAGGAUCCAGCACUGAUUCAAUCCCUGGCCCAGGAACUUGCCAGUAAUACAGGUGUGGCCAUAAAAAUAAAUAAAUAAAUACAUAUUUUUUUAAUUGGGGGAAAUAAUAGAACCAACCUCAGAGGGUCCAUGGGAGCAUUACAUGAAAUGAUGUGUAGAAAAUCCCCAGCACAGCAUACAGUAAGUAUCCAAAACAUAUUUGUUAUUAAUACUGUAAUUAAUUAUCUCUGGAUUUUAGUUCUUU